Panthera uncia (snow leopard) is the source of this 367-nucleotide long non-coding RNA. RefSeq lists it as uncharacterized. Lineage: Eukaryota; Metazoa; Chordata; Mammalia; Carnivora; Felidae. The transcript has 3 exons. The record is from RefSeq and is a predicted model, not a curated record.
UUCCGAGCUGUGAAAGAAAUUUUUUAAAUAACAAAAACUUUCUAAGACCUAGAGCGACCCAGAUCCCCCAUUUCCGUUUUCCCAUUUCCCAAUAUACUCAUGAGGCCUGUAAAUUCACUUAAGGUCCUAUCUCCUUCUAAGGACAAUUUGCAUCAAUGACUGAUCAAUACUGAGACAUAAAGAUCCACCCGACUUGUCCCAACUCUGGAUGACUCUGAAAGACCAUCCCAGCUCCAGGACUUCCUAUGGGACUAGCUGAGGACUUUGUUGGGAGUGCUUCACAAUUCAGCUUCUCCCUCUGCCUAAUCAGGCUUCCUUCUAUUGGUGUUGAUCCCAAGAACAGUCUAUUAAACAUCUUGUAUGCUAA